AAAAUUUAACAAGUUACUAUUUACAAAUGGUAUGAUGGUUUGAUACUUAAGGACAAAGUAGGAACAAAAAUUUUAAAACCAUAUGAGUAAUAUCCUCUUGGAAUGGUUGAUUUCAAAUGAGUGAGUUUUCACAGGGGUUAAACAGCUUUAUUCACUAAAAACUCAGCCCACUAUUUAAGCAAAUCCCAGCUUAAAGGAGUUAUAAGUAACAAAAAGCUUUCCAGAAAAUGAAGACAAAUGAGUAGGAAGUGAGCAGAAGCUGAUAUGCAUCAACUAGAUAGAGAAGUUUUAGCAAAGCAUCCUGUGUGGUCACCAAUAAAACUCUGGAGCAGCUUACACGUUGUUCCUGACUAAACAUGACCUGGAAAUAGUUUUUGG
Molecule: long non-coding RNA, 378 nt
Filed under: Bos taurus (domestic cattle)
Lineage: Eukaryota; Metazoa; Chordata; Mammalia; Artiodactyla; Bovidae
Description: long non-coding RNA NONBTAT007099
Source: RNAcentral